Long non-coding RNA from Etheostoma cragini (Arkansas darter), 271 nucleotides. RefSeq lists it as uncharacterized. The record is from RefSeq and is a predicted model, not a curated record. The transcript has 3 exons. NCBI's taxonomy places the organism in Eukaryota, Metazoa, Chordata, Actinopteri, Perciformes, Percidae.
UGCUCUGAGUGUGGGAGAAGGUUCGGCACCAAGGCACAGCUGAAGAGACACAUGAGAAUCCACACAGGAGAAAAGCCUUUUAGCUGCUCAGAGUGUGGUAGAGCUUUCACUGAUAGUGGAAACCUGAGGACACACAGGCUAACUCACACAGGAGAAAAACCUUUCAGCUGUUCAGUCUGUAAGAAAUCUUUUACACAAAGUGGAAGUUUACGGUCACACAUGAGGAAUCCACACAGGAGAGAAAAGAUUCAGCUGCAGUGUUUGUAACAAA